CGGAGAUGGAACAACUUCCAACUUUGUCCGACAUUUGAAGUUGCAUAAAGAACGAGCCGCCGCUAGCUGAGGUACCACAGCCAAUGCAGCCUGAGCCUAAUCCCGAGCCCAGUCCAGAGCCUGACCCUGAGCCCAUGGAGCCAGACGUGGCUGAUCCGGUACCAGAGUGAGAGUCUUCCUGCUCCUGCAGCAAGAUGUCCAGCAGGUCGCAGGAUGAUGAGUUCCCGUCACUGUGAGCCCUGUCUCCUGGAGACUCCACCUAAGACACAAGCUGCCAACUGGACUCACUCUCAGAGGUCUUCUUCUGCUCAUGUUUGGGGAGAGACGGUGACGGCGUGGGAGAUGGGGAAUGCAGGCUGAUCUGAGGGUCCUGAUUCCUGAG
This is a long non-coding RNA of Oreochromis aureus, 382 nucleotides long. RefSeq lists it as uncharacterized. The record is from RefSeq and is a predicted model, not a curated record. Lineage: Eukaryota; Metazoa; Chordata; Actinopteri; Cichliformes; Cichlidae. The transcript is spliced from 3 exons.